AGGGAAUUUUCCACAAUGGACGAAAGUCUGAUGGAGCAACGCCGCGUGAACGAUGAAGGUCUUCGGAUUGUAAAGUUCUGUUGUUAGGGACGAAACCGUACCGUUCGAAUAGGGCGGUACCUUGACGGUACCUAAUUAGAAAGCCACGGCUAACUACGUGCCAGCAGCCGCGGUAAUACGUAGGUGGCAAGCGUUGUCCGGAAUUAUUGGGCGUAAAGCGCGCGCAGGCGGCUAUGUAAGUCUGAUGUUAAAGCCCGGGGCUCAACCCCGGUUCGCAUUGGAAACUGUGUAGCUUGAGUGCAGAAGAGGAAAGCGGUAUUCCACGUGUAGCGGUGAAAUGCGUAGAGAUGUGGAGGAACACCAGUGGCGAAGGCGGCUUUCUGGUCUGUAACUGACGCUGAGGCGCGAAAGCGUGGGGAGCAAAC
This 425-nucleotide ribosomal RNA is filed under the name uncultured bacterium. RNAcentral describes it as "bacterial SSU rRNA". It matches the Rfam family "Bacterial small subunit ribosomal RNA", at positions 356 to 773 of the family's 1533-position model. The record is from RNAcentral.